Molecule: ribosomal RNA, 869 nt
Filed under: Pseudomonas sp. SZY6
Lineage: Bacteria; Pseudomonadati; Pseudomonadota; Gammaproteobacteria; Pseudomonadales; Pseudomonadaceae
Description: bacterial SSU rRNA
Rfam family: Bacterial small subunit ribosomal RNA
Source: RNAcentral
CAAGUCGAGCGGUAGAGAGGUGCUUGCACCUCUUGAGAGCGGCGGACGGGUGAGUAAUGCCUAGGAAUCUGCCUGGUAGUGGGGGAUAACGUUCGGAAACGGACGCUAAUACCGCAUACGUCCUACGGGAGAAAGCAGGGGACCUUCGGGCCUUGCGCUAUCAGAUGAGCCUAGGUCGGAUUAGCUAGUUGGUGAGGUAAUGGCUCACCAAGGCGACGAUCCGUAACUGGUCUGAGAGGAUGAUCAGUCACACUGGAACUGAGACACGGUCCAGACUCCUACGGGAGGCAGCAGUGGGGAAUAUUGGACAAUGGGCGAAAGCCUGAUCCAGCCAUGCCGCGUGUGUGAAGAAGGUCUUCGGAUUGUAAAGCACUUUAAGUUGGGAGGAAGGGUACUUACCUAAUACGUGAGUAUUUUGACGUUACCGACAGAAUAAGCACCGGCUAACUCUGUGCCAGCAGCCGCGGUAAUACAGAGGGUGCAAGCGUUAAUCGGAAUUACUGGGCGUAAAGCGCGCGUAGGUGGUUUGUUAAGUUGGAUGUGAAAGCCCCGGGCUCAACCUGGGAACUGCAUUCAAAACUGACAAGCUAGAGUAUGGUAGAGGGUGGUGGAAUUUCCUGUGUAGCGGUGAAAUGCGUAGAUAUAGGAAGGAACACCAGUGGCGAAGGCGACCACCUGGACUGAUACUGACACUGAGGUGCGAAAGCGUGGGGAGCAAACAGGAUUAGAUACCCUGGUAGUCCACGCCGUAAACGAUGUCAACUAGCCGUUGGGAGCCUUGAGCUCUUAGUGGCGCAGCUAACGCAUUAAGUUGACCGCCUGGGGAGUACGGCCGCAAGGUUAAAACUCAAAUGAAUUGACGGGGGCCC